CCCUGCUGAGCUGAGACAGACACUAUUGGACCAGACACUACCAUGUCUCCCUGCUGAGCUGAGACAGACACUAUUGGACCAGACACUACCAUGUCCCCCUGCUGAGCUGAGACAGACACUAUUGGACCAGACACUACCAUGUCUCCCUGCUGAGCUGAGACAGACACUAUUGGACCAGACACUACCAUGUCUCCCUGCUGAGCUGAGACAGACACUAUUGGACCAGACACUACCACCAGUUCAACAACAGGUCUGGAGAGGAGAACAUGAGAGACAGAGAGCUCUGAGGGGUCACCCACAACAGUUCAUCAACAGGUCUGGAGAGGAGAACAUGAGAGACAGAGAGCUCUGAGAGGUCACCCACAACAGUUCAUCAACAGGUCUGGAGAGGAGAACAUGAGAGACAGAGAGCUCUGAGAGGUCACCCAUAACAGUUCACCAACAGGUCUGGAGAGGAGAACAUGAGAGACAGAGAGCUCUGAGGGGUCACCCAUAACAGUUCACCAACAGGUCUGGAGAGGGUGGGUAGUUUUACAUUCAAGAAGCUGACGUUUUGGGAAACAUGAGGCGUCUGAAAUGUGGAAGUCGUAAAGUUGUGUUUGUAGGAUGUUGCUGGGUUCCUUAUUCUGGACAGGAAUGAUGUUCAGUUACCAGACACAGCUGGUUGUUGUCAACGACCUCUGACCUCCGUAUACUUCCACUUCUCUAUUCAAUGGAAACAGUCCGUCCAAACGUCCUGAUGGCAUUUGGUGGAACAAUGAACACACUCAGUAUAAUACAUCUUCUGGAACCUCCCAAAGACACCUCUCUGUCCUCCUGUCCAAUACGACACGUACAGGUGACAGACAGACAGACAGACAGACAGACAGACAGACAGACAGAC
Molecule: long non-coding RNA, 883 nt
Organism: Oncorhynchus tshawytscha (Chinook salmon)
Lineage: Eukaryota; Metazoa; Chordata; Actinopteri; Salmoniformes; Salmonidae
Source: Ensembl